This 464-nucleotide ribosomal RNA is filed under the name uncultured bacterium. Its description in RNAcentral is "partial 16S ribosomal RNA". It matches the Rfam family "Bacterial small subunit ribosomal RNA", at positions 28 to 507 of the family's 1533-position model. The record is from RNAcentral.
GACGAACGCUGGCGGCGUGCUUAACACAUGCAAGUCGAACGGUAAGUCCCCAUCUUGCUGGGGUCCACGAGUUGCGAACUGGUGAGUAACACGUGGGUUACCUGCCCCGCACUUCGGGAUAAGCCUGUGCAACUUGGUCUAAUACCGGAUAGGACCGCACCGUUAUGGUUUGGUGGAAAGUUUUUCGGUGUGGGAUGGGCCCGCGGCCUUUCAGCUUGUUGGUGGGGUAAGGGGCUACCAAGGCGGCGACGGGUAGCAGGCCUGAGAGGGUGGCCGGCCAAAUUGGGACUGAGAAGAGGCCCAGACUCCUACGGGAGGCAGCAGUGGGGAAUAUUGCACAAUGGGCGGAAGCCUGAUGCAGCGAAGCCGCGUGGGGGAUGACGGCCUUCGGGUUGUAAACUCAUGUCACCAUCGACGAAGGGUUUCUGACGGUAGAUGGAGAAGAAGCACCGGCUAACUACGUG